GAUGAACGCUGGCGGCGUGCCUAAUACAUGCAAGUCGAGCGAACAGACGAUGAGCUUGCUCCUCUGACGUUAGCGGCGCACGGGUGAGUAACACGUGGAUAACCUACCUAUAAUACUGGGAUAACUUCGGGAAACCGGAGCUAAUACCGGAUAAUAUAUUGAACCGUAUGGUUCAAUAGUGAAAGACGGUUUUGCUGUCACUUAUAGAUGGAUCCGCGCCGCAUUAGCUAGUUGGUAGGUUAACGGCUUAUCAAGGGGACGAUGCCUAGCCGACCUGAGAGGGGGAUCGGCGACUGUGGAGGUGACACGCGACACAGGGUCCGACGGGCGGCAGAGGUAGGGACGCGACCGAGAAGGGCGGAAGCCUGACGGAGCGACGGCGCGUGAGUGCAGAAGGUCUGCGGGUCGUAUGACUGUGUUAUUGGGGAAGAGCAAAUGUGUAAGUAACGAUGCACGUGUGAAGGGAACCUGAUCAGAAGGCCAGGGCAAAUUACGU
This 496-nucleotide ribosomal RNA is filed under the name uncultured bacterium. RNAcentral's name for it is "partial 16S ribosomal RNA". It matches the Rfam family "Bacterial small subunit ribosomal RNA", at positions 28 to 506 of the family's 1533-position model. The record is from RNAcentral.